Molecule: ribosomal RNA, 2736 nt
Filed under: Microcaldota archaeon
Lineage: Archaea; Nanobdellati; Microcaldota
Description: 23S ribosomal RNA
Rfam family: Archaeal large subunit ribosomal RNA
Source: RNAcentral
CGUGGCAAGCUGCGAUAAGCCCAGGGUAGGCGCAGGCAGCCGUUAAACCUGGGAUGGGGCGAAGCACAGGUUCUUCGGAACCUGUCAGUAACGCCGGGAAUUGAAGCAUCUUAGUACCGGCAGGAAAAGAAAUCAAUAUGAGAUCCGGGUAGUAAGGGCGACUGAACCCCGGACAGACCGUCUCGAAUCCACCUCAGCAAUGAGGUCGGAGAUGUGAGGGGGAGCAUCCUAGUACCGACUCGAAGUGGGCUGGAAUGCCCCACCAUAGAGGGUGAUAGUCCCGUAGAGGUAGGUGCUAGGAGCGAACCAGAAGAGUACCGCUCUCUGGCUGAGAGCGGGAAGAUGGGGGAACUAACCUCCAAGUCUAAAUAUAGCGGAGAGACCGAUAGCGAAUUAGUAGCGCGAGCGAACGCUGAAAAGUUCCCCGGGAAGGGGAGUGAAAAGAGCCUGAAACUACGCCGGGACAGGCAGCCAAGGCGUGAAAGGGUACCUAGGUGAAGCCGACUGGGGCAACCCAGGAGGCCAUCCUAGGGUCAACGUCUUGGCAUUCUUCUCGAAGCAAGAGCCAGGGAGUUCUGCGGGGUGGCGAGGCGAAAGCCGGAGCGAAAGCGAGCGCCCGCAACGUUAAGUGAGGGGCGUCCUCCCAAAAGGGGAUUAGUCACCGCGCAGAGACCCGAAGCCCGUUGCGAACUAGAGCGGGGCAGGGCGAAGCCCACCUGACGGUGGGUGGAGGCCCGCAACUAGUGUUGGUAUAUCCACUUAGGUGACCUCGCUCUAGGGGUGAUAGGCCAUUCGAGCCGGGCGAUAGCGGGUUCCUCCCCAAAUGUGUCUCAGCACAGCGUCGCCGGAGGCGGCCUGAAGGGUAGAGCACUGAUUGGGUGGCCCGGGGGAGAAUAUCCCUCACCACCCUAUCAAACUCCGAAUCUUCAGGCGCCGUAGAUGGCGGCAGUGGGGCUCCCCGGGGUAAGCCUGGGGGUCUAUAGCGGAACGACGCUACGUGCGGUUAAGGGCCCUAAGUGCCGGCUAAGUGCGAAUCCAAAAGAGGGGUAUCCUCUUAGACAGCUGGGACGUAGGCUUAGAAGCAGCCAUCGUCUAAGCAACGCGUAAAAGCGGACCAGCCGAGAGGAUACCUCUCAAAAAUGGACGGGGCUAAGCCGGCCUCCGAUACCGCACCGGUCCCGAAAGGGACAUCGAGUAGGGAGGCGUCCGGAGUGCUUCGAAGCAGGGCCGUGAGGUCCUGUGGAGCGCUCUGGAAUGAAUAUCCUGGCGUCAGUAGCAGCAAACUCGGGUGAGAAUCCCGAAGGGCUGAUAGGGCAAGGUUUCCUUGGCAACGUUCGUCAGCCAAGGGUUAGGCGGUCCUAAGGCACCCCCUAAUAGGAAGGUGCCGAUUGGGAAAGGGGUUAAUAUUCCCCUCCCAGAGUGGUAGGCCUUGCAGCAAUGCAGCCCCCGGUAGCCGACGCCUUGGGAUAGCGGCAGCCCCGCAAGGGGUCUAAGCGCUGAAGCCCCCAGAGUCUCGUUGUGAGGAGAAGGGGGUGAAGGCGUGACGGGGUAACUGCCGCGACUCCUGGGGACCAUGAAAAGGCAGGGGGAACGACCCACUCUGACCGUACCAAGAACCGGUACAGGUGCCCUAGCUGAAAAGGCUCAGCCCAGUAGGGAGAACCCAGGCAAGGGAACUCGGCAAAUUGGCCCCGUAACUUCGGGAGAAGGGGUGCCUGGGAUCGUGCAGAUCCCAGGUCGCAGUGACCAGGGGAGAGCGACUGUUUAUCAAAAACACAGGUCACCGCAAGGCCGAAAGGCUGUGUACGGUGGCUGACGCCUGCUCACUGCCAGUACCCGAAAGCCCCUUACAAGGGGCCUAAGGGCUGGUAAAGAGCGGGGGUAACUCUGACCCUCUUAAGGUAGCGUAAUACCUCGCCGCUUAAUUGGCGGCUUGCAUGAAUGGCGUAACGACUCUCCCACUGUCCCUGCCUGGGACCCUGUGAAAUCACUUCCCGGUGAAGAUGCCGGGGACUCCCAGUGGGAAACGAAGACUCCAUGGAGCUUUACCACAGCCUGGUGUUGGCUUGCUGGUCCGGCUACAGAGCGUAGGCGGGAGCCGUCGAAGCCGCCUCUCCGGGGGCGGUGGAGGCGCCCAUGUAACACCGCCUAGUCGGGCUGGCAAGCCUAACCGAAAGGGACAGCGCCAGGUGGGUGGUUUGGCUGGGGCGGUACACCCACGAAAAGGUAACAUGGGUGCCCAAAGGUCUGCUCAGGCGGGUCAGAAAUCCGCUGUAGAGGGCAAAAGAUAAAUGCAGGCCUGACUUCUUCCCUAACAGCGUGGGAAGAAGAGGGGAAACCCGGGCUUAGCGAACAGCAAUAUCCCAUUAGUGGGGGAUUGCUCUGUCAGACAAGCUACCCUGGAGGUAACAGGCUCGUCGCGGGUGAGAGUACAUAUCGACCCCGCGGCUUGGUACAUCGCUGUCGGCUUGGGUCAUCCUGGCUGUGUAGGAGCAGCCAAGGGUUGGGUUGUUCAUCCAUUAAAGACCCACAUGAGCUGGGUUCAGUACGUCGCGAGACAGUACGGUAGUAUCUGCUGGGAGUGUCGCGCAUUGAGGGGAAGGAUCCCUUAGUACGAGAGGAACAGGGAUUCGGGGCCUCUGGUGUACCGGUUGUGAAAUGCACUGCCGGGCAGCUACGCCCUAGAGGAUAAGACCUGAAAGCAUCUAAGGUCGAAGCCUCUCCCAAAACGAGUGC